GAACGCGAAGAACCUUACCCACCUUUGACAUGGCAGGAAGUUUCCAGAGAUGGAUUCGUGCCCGAAAGGGAACCUGCACACAGGUGCUGCAUGGCUGUCGUCAGCUCGUGUCGUGAGAUGUUGGGUUAAGUCCCGCAACGAGCGGAACCCUUGUCCUUAGUUGCUAACGGGUAAGCCGAGCUCUCUAGGGAGACUGCCCGCGAAAGCGGGAGGAAGGCGGGGAUGACGUCUAGUCCGCAUGGCCCUUACGGCCUGGGCGACACACGUGCUACAAUGCCCGGCACAGAGCGCUGCCACAUCGCAAGAUGGAGCGAAUCGCCUAAAUCCGGGCUCAGUUCGGAUUGGGGUCUGCAACCCGACCCCAUGAAGCUGGAAUCGCUAGUAAUCGCGGAUCAGCCAUGCCGCGGUGAAUACGUUCCCGGGUCUUGUACACACC
RNAcentral lists this ribosomal RNA (436 nucleotides) under uncultured bacterium. RNAcentral's name for it is "bacterial SSU rRNA". It matches the Rfam family "Bacterial small subunit ribosomal RNA", at positions 957 to 1391 of the family's 1533-position model. The record is from RNAcentral.